RNAcentral lists this ribosomal RNA (112 nucleotides) under Aotus nancymaae (Ma's night monkey). The record is from RNAcentral. Lineage: Eukaryota; Metazoa; Chordata; Mammalia; Primates; Aotidae.
UGUGGUCAUACCACCCUGAAUGUGCCUGAUUGCAUCUGAGCUUGAAAGCUAAGCAGGGUCUGGCCUGGUUAGUACUUGGAUGGGAGACCAAACAGCAACCUAACCAAAAUGU